Molecule: ribosomal RNA, 253 nt
Filed under: uncultured bacterium
Lineage: Bacteria
Description: partial 16S ribosomal RNA
Rfam family: Bacterial small subunit ribosomal RNA
Source: RNAcentral
UACGUAGGGGGCAAGCGUUGUCCGGAUUUAUUGGGCGUAAAGAGCGUGUAGGCGGCCGUACAGGUCAGCUGUGAAAACUCGAGGCUCAACCUCGAGACGUCGGUUGAAACCGUACGGCUAGAGUCCGGAAGAGGAGAGUGGAAUUCCCGGUGUAGCGGUGAAAUGCGCAGAUAUCAGGAGGAACACCGGUGGCGAAGGCGGGUCUCUGGGCCGAUAUUGACGCUGAGGAGCGAAAGCGUGGGGAGCGAACAGG